AGUGAACGCUGGCGGUAGGCCUAACACAUGCAAGUCGAACGGCAGCACAGUAAGAGCUUGCCCUUACGGGUGGCGAGUGGCGGACGGGUGAGGAAUACAUCGGCAUCUACUUUUUCGUGGGGGAUAACGUAGGGAAACUUACGCUAAUACCGCAUACGACCUACGGGUGAAAGCAGUGGAUCUUCGGACCUUGCGCGAUUGAAUGAGCCGAUGUCGGAUUAGCUAGUUGGCGGGGUAAAGGCCCACCAAGGCGACGAUCCGUAGCUGGUCUGAGAGGAUGAUCGGCCACACUGGAACUGAGACACGGUCCAGACUCCUACGGGAGGCAGCAGUGGGGAAUAUUGGACAAUGGGCGCAAGCCUGAUCCAGCCAUACCGCGUGGGUGAAGAAGGCCUUCGGGUUGUAAAGCCCUUUUGUUGGGAAAGAAAAGCAGCAGGUGAAUACCCCGCUGUUCUGACGGUACCCAAAGAAUAAGCACCGGCUAACUUCGUG
Molecule: ribosomal RNA, 492 nt
Filed under: uncultured bacterium
Lineage: Bacteria
Description: partial 16S ribosomal RNA
Rfam family: Bacterial small subunit ribosomal RNA
Source: RNAcentral